AUUGAACGCUGGCGGCAGGCCUAACACAUGCAAGUCGAGCGGUAGCACAGAGAGCUUGCUCUCGGGUGACGAGCGGCGGACGGGUGAGUAAUGUCUGGGAAACUGCCUGAUGGAGGGGGAUAACUACUGGAAACGGUAGCUAAUACCGCAUAACGUCGCAAGACCAAAGUGGGGGACCUUCGGGCCUCAUGCCAUCAGAUGUGCCCAGAUGGGAUUAGAUGGUAGGUGGGGUAACGGCACACCUAGGCGACGAUCCCUAGCUGGUCUGAGAGGCUGACCAGCCACACUGGAACUGAGACACGGUCCAGACUCCUACGGGAGGCAGCAGUGGGGAAUAUUGCACAAUGGGCGCAAGCCUGAUGCAGCCAUGCCGCGUGUGUGAAGAAGGCCUUCGGGUUGUAAAGCACUUUCAGCGGGGAGGAAGGCGAUGAGGUUAAUAACCUCAUCGAUUGACGUUACCCGCAGAAGAAGCACCGGCUAACUCCGUGCCAGCCGCCGCCGUAA
Molecule: ribosomal RNA, 504 nt
Filed under: uncultured bacterium
Lineage: Bacteria
Description: partial 16S ribosomal RNA
Rfam family: Bacterial small subunit ribosomal RNA
Source: RNAcentral